GGAACAUGUAAUGUCAGAGUGUUUGCACUGACACCUCUGUAUAUCUAGCUCCAAGUCAGUUACAUAGAUCAUUGCUAUUUCAGGAUUUUCUCCAGUAAAGGUUCGAAAUGUUUGGAAUUCUGGUUUUGUCUUUGCUCACAGACUGUGCGCUGUCAUCACCUGUGAUUCAGCAAACACCUUUAAAUCUUCUGAUAAAACCAGAACAACGACAAGCCCAGAUCGAAUGCUACCAUGGAGCGAGUGACUAUCAAUACAUGUACUGGUACCAGCACAGGUCAGCAGCAGGAGGCCAGCGGACAAUGGAGCUGAUUGGACGGCUUCAAUAUGGAAACCCAACUCUUGAAAAGACCUUUGAGAGCAAAUUUAACAUAACAGGCCAUUCAACGGCCAAAGCUCAGCUUGUAAUCUCCAAUGUUAAUCCGGCAGACACAGCACAAUACUUCUGUGCUGCGAGUCGGCACAGU
This is a long non-coding RNA of Oreochromis aureus, 464 nucleotides long. Lineage: Eukaryota; Metazoa; Chordata; Actinopteri; Cichliformes; Cichlidae. The record is from Ensembl.